Lepus europaeus (European hare) is the source of this 864-nucleotide long non-coding RNA. RefSeq lists it as uncharacterized. Lineage: Eukaryota; Metazoa; Chordata; Mammalia; Lagomorpha; Leporidae. The transcript is spliced from 3 exons. The record is from RefSeq and is a predicted model, not a curated record.
GAGAGAGAGACAGAGAGGAAGGUCUUCCUUUGCCAUUGGUUCACCCUCCAAUGGCCACCACAGCCGGUGCACCACGCUGAUCCAAAGCCAGGAACCAGGUGCUUCUCCUGGUCUCCCAUGGGGUGCAAGGCCCAAGCACCUGCACGAUCCUCCACUCCACUCUCGGGCCAUAGCAGAGAGCUGGCCUGGAAGAGGGGCAACCGGGACAGAAUCCGGCGCCCCAACCGGGACUAGAACCCGAUGUGCCGGCACCGCAGACAGAGGGUUAGCCUAUUGAGCUGCAGUGCCAGCCAAGUAAUAUCUAUCCUUUAAAAGUAAAAACCAAAAACAAGGAUGGCAGUAUAUUUAUGCAUGUACAUCCAAACUACUACCUGGAGAUGUGGUACUGGCUCUUGGAAGGCAGCCCUUCAACACGUAAUCAGCUGAGCUUCAUACCACACAGUGGCAAGCUGGUGAUGCACUUGUCCUAAGACACACUGCUUCACCCAUUUCUUUCUCUCACUUGUGUUUCUUAGGGAUUGGACUCCAUGACAAGAAUCUUACCUGAGGGCCGAUGCUGUGGCACAUCAGGUUAAAGUUCUGGCCUGCAGCGCUGCCAUCCCAUAUGGGCACUGGUUCGGGUCCUGGCUGCUCCACUUUGGAUCCAGCUUCCUGUUAAUGCACCUGGGAAAGCAGUGGAGGAUCGCCCAAGUCCUUGGGCUCCUGCACCCAUAGAGGGGACCUAGAAGAAGUGCACAGUUCCUGGCUUUGGAUCAGCUCAGCUCCGGCCGUUAUGGCCAUUUGGGGAGUGAACCAGCGGAUGGAAGACCUCUCUCUCUCUCUCUCUCUCUCUCUCUCUCUCUGUCUCUACCUCUCUCUGUAACU